This 108-nucleotide small nuclear RNA is filed under the name Carlito syrichta (Philippine tarsier). Lineage: Eukaryota; Metazoa; Chordata; Mammalia; Primates; Tarsiidae. The record is from RNAcentral.
GUGCCUGCUUUGGCAGCACAUAUACUAAAAUUGAAAUGAUACAGAGAAUGUUAGCAUGGCCCCCCACACAAGGAUGACAUACAGAUUUGUGAAGUGUUUUAUAUUUUU